RNAcentral lists this ribosomal RNA (426 nucleotides) under uncultured bacterium. RNAcentral's name for it is "partial 16S ribosomal RNA". It matches the Rfam family "Bacterial small subunit ribosomal RNA", at positions 354 to 796 of the family's 1533-position model. The record is from RNAcentral.
GUGAGGAAUUUUCCGCAAUGGGCGAAAGCCUGACGGAGCAAUGCCGCGUGAAGGAUGAAGGCCUAUGGGUUGUAAACUUCUUUUCUCAGAAAAGAAUUAUGACGGUAUCUGAGGAAUAAGCAUCGGCUAACUCUGUGCCAGCAGCCGCGGUAAGACAGAGGAUGCAAGCGUUAUCCGGAAUGAUUGGGCGUAAAGCGUCUGUAGGUUGUUUAAAAAGUAUUCUGUCAAAGAUUAGGGCUUAACCCUAGAUAGGCAGAAUAAACUUUUAAGCUAGAGUUUGGUUGAGGCAGAGGGAAUUCCCGGUGGAGCGGUGAAAUGCGUAGAUAUCGGGAGGAACACCAAAGGCGAAGGCACUCUGCUGGGCCAAUACUAACACUGAGAGACGAAAGCGAGGGGAGCAAAUGGGAUUAGAUACCCUUGUAGUCC